CUAGUCUCCCUCUGCCCGAAGGAACCGAGCCGCAGACAUUCCAUGGGUUUGGGGGAAGUAGUCGCCUUGGUUCCCGAGAAUUGGGUUCCUCCUGGGUCACCUCAUCCACCCAACACCUGUUAUCAUCCUUCGGGUCUCAGUUUUCCAGAGACAAAAUUACGAAACGAACCCCUGGCCUGGUCUUCGCGGUUGGGGCUUUGGGGGUCUUUGGAGGCUGCGGUGGGGGUGAAAAGGGGGAGGAUCCCCGAGGGAUGACAGAGCUUCGGGUCUCCCCUGGGUUGUCGGCGCUGCUGUUUACUCGCCCGCCGCCUUCAGCCCACUUCCCUUUUCCUCCCCGGGAGGAGGAGAUGGUUAAAGAUUACACCGUGGCCGCGGGCACUUCAAAGGGCGGCUCGGGCAGCCAAAGAUGACUUUGUAAGUGCAACUCAAGAUUUAUUCUUUUUACGAAACCUCCCGUGACCGCAGUCUGCCUUCAUCAUCAAGCGACUAAUAUUUGUAGAACGAGGAUCACAAAGCAGCAGUGACCCGAGGGGCAAGUUAGCUCUCUGCGUGGAGCUUGCAGUCUAAAGGAGACUCCCCCAGAAGAUGAAUCUCACCGAACGUUCCUGUUUUUCCCACUCCUGUUUUCUCCCUAACUUCCAGCCAGGAUUGCUGGGAGUGGGUUCUUGGUUGGGUCACCUACGAGAAGGGCAGUGUGGGUUUUGGAUUCUCAGAGACCAGUGUUCAAAUCUCUGCUUUGUCAUUUACAACCUGUGGGACUUGGAGAAGUUUAUCUUGAGGCCCAGUUUCUUCUGCAAGAGUAAAUAUUACUACCCACUUAAACAAAUAAGGAAAAUGAGGCUCAGAGAAGUGAAAUAACUUUUCAAAGUCACUGGGCCGGUUCAAAUCUUCCUUGAUGUGGACUCUGAUUUCAGCCAGACAUAAAUUCUUGAUCAUAGGCUUGAUGCAGUGGCCUCUCUGUAUUGCUUUCUUCCCAUGAUAGAGCAGAUACAGGGCUCUAAGUACCAAAAACUCAGGAGCCCCAUCGGUGUCCUAACCAAUUAUGGUGGCAAAUAUUUUUGGUAAUUUUUUUUUCUGAAGUUCUUUAUUUUACUUGAGCUUUUCCGGUCACACUGUGACUGAAAUUUGAU
RNAcentral lists this long non-coding RNA (1130 nucleotides) under Mustela putorius furo (domestic ferret). RNAcentral's name for it is "lncRNA (ENSMPUG00000026134.1)". Lineage: Eukaryota; Metazoa; Chordata; Mammalia; Carnivora; Mustelidae. The record is from RNAcentral.